ACAGGCUUAACACAUGCAAGUCGAGGGGUAGCAGGGUAGCAAUACCGCUGACGACCGGCGCACGGGUGAGUAACACGUAUCCAACCUUCCCAUUACUCGGGGAUAGCCUUUCGAAAGAAAGAUUAAUACCCGAUAGUACUUAAUUAUGGCAUCAUGAUUAGGUUAAAGAUUUAUUGGUAAUGGAUGGGGAUGCGUUCCAUUAGAUUGUUGGUGAGGUAACGGCUCACCAAGUCUUCGAUGGAUAGGGGUUCUGAGAGGAAGGUCCCCCACAUUGGUACUGAGACACGGACCAAACUCCUACGGGAGGCAGCAGUGAGGAAUAUUGGUCAAUGGGCGAGAGCCUGAACCAGCCAAGUAGCGUGAAGGAUGACGG
Molecule: ribosomal RNA, 373 nt
Filed under: uncultured Bacteroidales bacterium
Lineage: Bacteria; Pseudomonadati; Bacteroidota; Bacteroidia; Bacteroidales
Description: bacterial SSU rRNA
Rfam family: Bacterial small subunit ribosomal RNA
Source: RNAcentral